This 882-nucleotide long non-coding RNA is filed under the name Vulpes vulpes (red fox). Its description in RNAcentral is "lncRNA (ENSVVUG00000030337.1)". The record is from RNAcentral. Lineage: Eukaryota; Metazoa; Chordata; Mammalia; Carnivora; Canidae.
UUUCUCCACCAUGGGGGCUUUUCUCACUCUUCCAACUGGCUCCGGCUCGACCCUGGCUCAUCAGAUGGCAGAGCAUUCAAGAGGCAGCUCGGUCGAGGGCUCACCGUCUUAUGACUGUCCCAGGAAGAGCUGACUGCUCUAAUGAUCAGAGCUGUUCAUUCCUGGAAUUUGCUGAACCAAACAUUUACACUGAGGAGUGAUGAAAAGAUAAUCACCUGCUUCAGGUCAAAUGGGUCUUCUAAUGCCAACGGCCUCCACGUUAAAUGACAACCAGUGUUUUUGACUCGUAUUCAACCUAGACCACUGGAGGAGCCGAGCAUGUGCGGGAUGAGACUCCAAGGAAGCCAACCCAAAACAGCAUCUGCGAGGCCAAGGAGCUGAGCAAAGAUUUCAUAAACAGGACGCAAAACACUAACGACACAAGAAAAAGAUUGAUAAAUUGGAUUGCAUUAAAAGUCAGAACUUAUGUUCUGAUUUACAAGUUCAUAAAAAUAUUUUCCUGUUAAAGCUUUAUUGCUUCGCCUUUCGCAUUUGAAUGUAUGAUUCCCUUUUUGUGUGUUUCUCUUGCUCUAAAAAUGAUUCCUUCCAGGAAAUAGAGCUAAACAAUGUGGUUUUCAUAAGCAGGGUGCCUUUAUCCGCUGCUCAAGCUCAGGGGGUCUGAAGAGGCUUGCCUUCAACUUCCCUCUUGCCUCUUCCUCCGAUUUUAAAUUCUGGGAAGGGGGUUCUCCACCACCAUUCCAGUUGGUAUCUAUGGCCACAUUGGGUGGGGGUCGAGGGCUGAUCCAAGCAGAAUAUGUCAAGCAAAGCAUCUCAUGACCCAAAUGGCAUCAUCCCCUUUGGAUGGUCAGUAGUCAGGAAGUAGAGGCUGAAAACUGACAAAGU